GAUGAACGCUGGCGGCGUGCUUAACACAUGCAAGUCGAACGGAAAGGCCCAAGCUUGCUUGGGUACUCGAGUGGCGAACGGGUGAGUAACACGUGGGUGAUCUGCCCUGCACUUCGGGAUAAGCCUGGGAAACUGGGUCUAAUACUGGAUAGGACCACUUCUUGGAUGUUGUGGUGGAAAGUUUUUUCGGUGUGGGAUGAGCUCGCGGCCUAUCAGCUUGUUGGUGGGGUAAUGGCCUACCAAGGCGUCGACGGGUAGCCGGCCUGAGAGGGUGUACGGCCACAUUGGGACUGAGAUACGGCCCAGACUCCUACGGGAGGCAGAGGUGGGGAAUAUUGCACAAUGGGCGCAAGCCUGAUGCAGCGACGCCGCGUGGGGGAUGACGGCCUUCGGGUUGUAAACUCCUUUCGCUAGGGACGAAGCGUUUUGUGACGGUACCUGGAGAAGAAGCACCGGCUAACUACGUG
This 467-nucleotide ribosomal RNA is filed under the name uncultured bacterium. Its description in RNAcentral is "partial 16S ribosomal RNA". It matches the Rfam family "Bacterial small subunit ribosomal RNA", at positions 28 to 507 of the family's 1533-position model. The record is from RNAcentral.